UCAAGUGAAUAAGAGCAUGUGGUGGAUGCCUUGGCGAUGAUAGGCGAAGAAGGACGUGAUAGCCUGCGAUAAGCUCCGGUGAGUUGGCAAAUGAACUUUGACCCGGAGAUUUCCGAAUGGGGAAACCCACCCGAACAGGGUAUUUGCUUUUGAAUACAUAGAAAGCAAAGGCGAACCAAGCGAACUGAAACAUCUAAGUAGCUUGAGGAAAAGACAUCAACCGAGAUUCCGAAAGUAGUGGCGAGCGAAAUUGGAUCAGCCUUCCAGUGAUAGCGCAAACGUUAGCAAAACGAGGUGGAAAACUCGGCCGUAGCAGGUGAUAGCCCUGUAUGCGAAAGCGAAUGUGUGGUACUAGGCUGGUAACAAGUAGGGCGGGACACGUGUAAUCCUGUCUGAAUAUGGGGGGACCAUCCUCCAAGGCUAAAUACUCAUCAUCGACCGAUAGUGAACAAGUACCGUGAGGGAAAGGCGAAAAGAACCCCGGGAGGGGAGUGAAAUAGAUUCUGAAACCGCAUGCUUACAAAAAGUCGGAGCCCUUUUGGGUGACGGCGUACCUUUUGUAUAAUGGGUCAGCGACUUACAUUCAGUGGCGAGGUUAACCGAGUAGGGGAGCCGCAGAGAAAUCGAGUCCGAAUAGGGCGUUUGAGUCGCUGGGUGUAGACCCGAAACCAGGUGAUCUAUCCAUGACCAGGAUGAAGGUGCCGUAACAGGUACUGGAGGUCCGAACCGACUGGUGUUGCAAAACCAGCGGAUGAGUUGUGGAUAGGGGUGAAAGGCUAAACAAACCUGGAAAUAGCUGGUUCUCUCCGAAAACUAUUUAGGUAGUGCCUCACGUAUUGCCUUUGGGGGUAGAGCACUGUUUUGGCUAGGGGGUCAUGGCGACUUACCAAACCAAGGCAAACUCCGAAUACCAAAGAGCAGAGCGUGGGAGACAGUGCACCGGGUGCUAACGUCCGGACACGAGAGGGAAACAACCCAGACCGCCAGCUAAGGUCCCUAAAAUUGGCUAAGUGGGAAACGAAGUGAGAAGGCUAAAACAGUCAGGAUGUUGGCUUAGAAGCAGCCACCAUUUAAAGAAAGCGUAAUAGCUCACUGAUCGAGUCGUCUUGCGCGGAAGAUGUAACGGGGCUCAAGCCAGUUACCGAAGCUGCGGAUGCACAGCAAUGUGUGUGGUAGGAGAGCGUUCUGUAAGUCUGUGAAGGCGGCCUGAGAAGGCUGCUGGAGAUAUCAGAAGUGCGAAUGCUGACAUGAGUAGCGUUAAAGCGGGUGAAAAGCCUGCUCGCCGUAAGCGCAAGGUUUUCUAUGCAACGUUCAUCGGCGUAGAGUAAGUCGGCCCCUAAGGUAAGGCAGAGAUGCGUAGCUGAUGGGAAACAGGUUAAUAUUCCUGUACCGAUGUGCAGUGCGAUGUGGGGACGGAUCUUAAUAGGUUGUCCGGGUUUUGGAUAUCCCGGUUUAGAUGGAAGUAGGUGUGCAUCAGGCAAAUCCGGUGCAUAUGUGCCCAGGCCAUCGAUCGAGCAAGCUUGCUUGCGAAGCAACUGAACGAGGUCCCAGGAAAAGCCACUAAGCUUCAGCUGCACACGACCGUACCGCAAACCGACACUGGUGCGCGAGAUGAGUAUUCUAAGGCGCUUGAGAGAACUCAGGAGAAGGAACUCGGCAAAUUGACACCGUAACUUCGGGAGAAGGUGUGCCCUAGUAGUGUGAUGAGAGCAUCUGAGCAUGAAUGGGUUGCAAAAAAUAGGUGGCUGCGACUGUUUAUUAAAAACACAGCACUCUGCAAACACGAAAGUGGACGUAUAGGGUGUGACGCCUGCCCGGUGCUGGAAGGUUAAUUGAAGAUGUGAGAGCAUCGGAUCGAAGCCCCAGUAAACGGCGGCCGUAACUAUAACGGUCCUAAGGUAGCGAAAUUCCUUGUCGGGU
This 1920-nucleotide ribosomal RNA is filed under the name human metagenome. RNAcentral describes it as "bacterial LSU rRNA". It matches the Rfam family "Bacterial large subunit ribosomal RNA", at positions 3 to 1977 of the family's 2925-position model. The record is from RNAcentral.